This 579-nucleotide ribosomal RNA is filed under the name Halorubrum distributum. Its description in RNAcentral is "partial 16S ribosomal RNA". It matches the Rfam family "Archaeal small subunit ribosomal RNA", at positions 328 to 906 of the family's 1478-position model. Lineage: Archaea; Methanobacteriati; Methanobacteriota; Halobacteria; Halobacteriales; Haloferacaceae. The record is from RNAcentral.
GGGAGCAGCAGCGCGAAACCUUUACACUGCACGACAGUGCGAUAGGGGGAUCCCAAGUGCACAGGCAUAGCGCCUGUGCUUUUCGGUACCGUAAAGGUGGUACCAGAAUAAGGGCUGGGCAAGACCGGUGCCAGCCGCCGCGGUAAUACCGGCAGCCCAAGUGAUGGCCGAUCUUAUUGGGCCUAAAGCGUCCGUAGCUGGCCGCGCAAGUCCAUCGGGAAAUCCACCUGCUCAACAGGUGGGCGCCCGGUAGAAACUGCGUGGCUUGGGACCGGAAGGCGCGACGGGUACGUCCGGGGUAGGAGUGAAAUCCCGUAAUCCUGGACGGACCGCCGAUGGCGAAAGCACGUCGCGAGGACGGAUCCGACAGUGAGGGACGAAAGCCAGGGUCUCGAACCGGAUUAGAUACCCGGGUAGUCCUGGCCGUAAACAAUGUCUGCUAGGUGUGGCUCCCACUACGAGUGGGUGCUGUGCCGUAGGGAAGCCGCUAAGCAGACCGCCUGGGAAGUACGUCCGCAAGGAUGAAACUUAAAGGAAUUGGCGGGGGAGCACUACAACCGGAGGAGCCUGCGGUUUAAU